RNAcentral lists this ribosomal RNA (200 nucleotides) under uncultured prokaryote. RNAcentral describes it as "partial 16S ribosomal RNA". It matches the Rfam family "Bacterial small subunit ribosomal RNA", at positions 1185 to 1382 of the family's 1533-position model. The record is from RNAcentral.
UCAAGUCAUCAUGGCCCUUAUGUCCAGGGCUACACACGUGCUACAAUGGGAGGUACAACGUGCAGCGAAACCGCGAGGUACAAGCGAAACACGAAAAGCCUUCCGUAGUUCGGAUUGAAGUCUGAAACCCGACUUCAUGAAGUUGGAAUCGCUAGUAAUCGCGCAUCAGCAUGGCGCGGUGAAUACGUUCCCGGGGCCUU